RNAcentral lists this ribosomal RNA (539 nucleotides) under uncultured Flavobacterium sp. RNAcentral describes it as "bacterial SSU rRNA". It matches the Rfam family "Bacterial small subunit ribosomal RNA", at positions 96 to 633 of the family's 1533-position model. Lineage: Bacteria; Pseudomonadati; Bacteroidota; Flavobacteriia; Flavobacteriales; Flavobacteriaceae. The record is from RNAcentral.
CGGCGCACGGGUGCGUAACGCGUAUGCAAUCUACCUUUCACAAAGGAAUAGCCCAGAGAAAUUUGGAUUAAUACCUUAUAGUAAUACGACUUGGCAUCAAGAUGUAUUUAAAGAUUUAUCGGUGAAAGAUGAGCAUGCGUCCCAUUAGCUAGUUGGUAAGGUAACGGCUUACCAAGGCAACGAUGGGUAGGGGUCCUGAGAGGGAGAUCCCCCACACUGGUACUGAGACACGGACCAGACUCCUACGGGAGGCAGCAGUGAGGAAUAUUGGACAAUGGGCGCAAGCCUGAUCCAGCCAUGCCGCGUGCAGGAUGACGGUCCUAUGGAUUGUAAACUGCUUUUAUACGAGAAGAAACACUCCGACGUGUCGGAGCUUGACGGUAUCGUAAGAAUAAGGAUCGGCUAACUCCGUGCCAGCAGCCGCGGUAAUACGGAGGGUGCAAGCGUUGUCCGGAUUUAUUGGGUUUAAAGGGUGCGUAGGCGGUUUAUUAAGUCAGUGGUGAAAGACGGUCGCUCAACGAUUGCAGUGCCAUUGAUAC